AAUUAGCCACGAUUGGAGCAUUGUUUGAGCUCUUUUAAUUUUUUUGAGGAUUGAGCGUUGGCAAAAAAAUUAAAAAGCGAGUGCGGAAAGCGUGUCUGAAA
Molecule: unclassified non-coding RNA, 101 nt
Filed under: Cloacibacterium normanense
Lineage: Bacteria; Pseudomonadati; Bacteroidota; Flavobacteriia; Flavobacteriales; Weeksellaceae
Description: Flavo-1 RNA
Source: RNAcentral